Molecule: transfer RNA, 72 nt
Filed under: Ictidomys tridecemlineatus (thirteen-lined ground squirrel)
Lineage: Eukaryota; Metazoa; Chordata; Mammalia; Rodentia; Sciuridae
Description: Spermophilus tridecemlineatus (thirteen-lined ground squirrel) tRNA
Rfam family: tRNA
About the family: Transfer RNA (tRNA) molecules are approximately 80 nucleotides in length.
Source: Rfam by way of RNAcentral
AGGGUUGUGGCUCAGAGGUAGAGCACUCACCUAGCAUGUGUGAGGCACUGGGUUUGAUCCUCAGCACCACAU